Molecule: ribosomal RNA, 205 nt
Filed under: uncultured bacterium
Lineage: Bacteria
Description: partial 16S ribosomal RNA
Rfam family: Bacterial small subunit ribosomal RNA
Source: RNAcentral
UGCGUAGGUGGUCGGGUAAGUCUGAUGUGAAAUCUCCGAGCUCAACUCGGAAAUGGCAUUGGAUACUAUUCGGCUGGAGGGUUGGAGGGGGGACUGGAAUUCUCGGUGUAGCAGUGAAAUGCGUAGAUAUCGAGAGGAACACCAGUGGCGAAGGCGAGUCCCUGGACAACCCCUGACACUGAGGCACGAAAGCUGGGAGCAAACA